AUUAAACGCUGGCGGCAUGCCUUACACAUGCAAGUCGAACGGCAGCACGGGGGCAACCCUGGUGGCGAGUGGCGGACGGGUGAGUAAUACAUCGGAACGUGCCCUGGAGUGGGGGAUAACGCAGCGAAAGCUACGCUAAUACCGCAUAUUCUGUGAGCAGGAAAGCAGGGGAUCGCAAGACCUUGCGCUUUGGGAGCGGCCGAUGUCGGAUUAGCUAGUUGGUGGGGUAAAGGCCUACCAAGGCGACGAUCCGUAGCGGGUCUGAGAGGAUGAUCCGCCACACUGGGACUGAGACACGGCCCAGACUCCUACGGGAGGCAGCAGUGGGGAAUUUUGGACAAUGGCGGAAGGCCUGAUCCAGCCAUGCCGCGUGAGUGAAGAAGG
This 384-nucleotide ribosomal RNA is filed under the name uncultured bacterium. RNAcentral describes it as "bacterial SSU rRNA". It matches the Rfam family "Bacterial small subunit ribosomal RNA", at positions 29 to 414 of the family's 1533-position model. The record is from RNAcentral.